GAUGAACGCUGGCGGCGUGCCUAAUACAUGCAAGUCGAGCGAACAGACGAGGAGCUUGCUCCUCUGACGUUAGCGGCGGACGGGUGAGUAACACGUGGAUAACCUACCUAUAAGACUGGGAUAACUUCGGGAAACCGGAGCUAAUACCGGAUAAUAUAUUGAACCGCAUGGUUCAAUAGUGAACGACGGUUUUGCUGUCACUUAUAGAUGGAUCCGCGCCGCAUUAGCUAGUUGGUAAGGUAACGGCUUACCAAGGCAACGAUGCGUAGCCGACCUGAGAGGGUGAUCGGCCACACUGGAACUGAGACACGGUCCAGACUCCUACGGGAGGCAGCAGUAGGGAAUCUUCCGCAAUGGGCGAAAGCCUGACGGAGCAACGCCGCGUGAGUGAUGAAGGUCUUCGGAUCGUAAAACUCUGUUAUUAGGGAAGAACAAAUGUGUAAGUAUCUAUGCGCGUCUUGACGGUACCUAAUCAGAAAGCCACGGCUAACUACGUG
RNAcentral lists this ribosomal RNA (497 nucleotides) under uncultured bacterium. Its description in RNAcentral is "partial 16S ribosomal RNA". It matches the Rfam family "Bacterial small subunit ribosomal RNA", at positions 28 to 507 of the family's 1533-position model. The record is from RNAcentral.